This 647-nucleotide ribosomal RNA is filed under the name uncultured bacterium. RNAcentral's name for it is "bacterial SSU rRNA". It matches the Rfam family "Bacterial small subunit ribosomal RNA", at positions 85 to 719 of the family's 1533-position model. The record is from RNAcentral.
GGAUAGAAGAGUGGCGAACGGGUGAGUAGAACAUAGGUAAUCUGGCUUAUAGAGGGGGAUAGCUACUGGAAACGGUAGGUAAAACCGCAUAGUUGUAGCUGUCGCAUGAGAGCUACAUUAAAGGUGCGCUAGCACUGCUAUAAGAUGAGCCUAUGACGCAUUAGCUAGUUGGUAAGGUAAAAGCUUACCAAGGCGACGAUGCGUAGCCGGACUGAGAGGUUGAACGGCCACACUGGGACUGAGACACGGCCCAGACUCCUACGGGAGGCAGCAGUAGGGAAUUUUCGGCAAUGGGGGGAACCCUGACCGAGCAACGCCGCGUGAAGGAAGAAGGUAUUCGUAUCGUAAACUUCUGUGAUAGAGGAAGAAAGACCUGUGUAGGAAAUGGCAGAGGGGAUGACGGUACUCUAAGAGGAAGCCACGGCUAACUACGUGCCAGCAGCCGCGGUAAUACGUAGGUGGCAAGCGUUAUCCGGAAUUAUUGGGCGUAAAGAGGGAGCAGGCGGUUAUCAGGGUCUUGGUUGAAAGGCUAGUGCUUAACAUUAGGAGAGGCAAAGAAACCAGAUGACUAGAGUUCUGAAGAGGAUUGUGGAAUUCCAUGAGUAGCGGUGAAAUGCGUAGAUAUGUGGAGGAACACCAGUGGCGAA